AUGAAGGUGCAAUUGGAAGACUCCGGACACUACCCUCUCUCUCACUCGGUCUCUCUCUUCCCUUUCGCUCAUCUCGCCCUCUCUCUCACUCCGUCUCGCUCUUCUCUCCCACUCCGUUAGACGAAGACAAAGACGAAGGAAGACCACAACCAUUACCCAUCCAUCUGCUUCUCCUCCGCUCCACCCUCUGUCGGAAUUCCUCGCCGUUUCCUCAAUUCUGAAGUUCCCUUCACAUCUCUUUAUCUCAAUGUUUUCUAUGUCCAGAUUUCAAUUUUAGUUUGUGUAAUUAGAUUUCAAUUUUAGGUACAUCAAAAUCAGAAUUCAGAUUUCAAUUAGAUUGCUCAGUUAAUGGGUCGUUUCCCAAAAGCGAAAAUGGACAUGGUGAGGGAGUUAAAACCCAAUUCUUUUGAAUUGGGUUGUAAUUCCGGUUGAUAAAUAAGUAGAGUGUGUUGCAAACCUAAAAUAAAAUCUCUUUUUGUGUUUCCUGCGAAGAGAUUAUUCGUUUAGCCAACAUGAGAAUGAUUAUUGACCAGGGAUUGGGAAUGAUUCGAUGCAGAUGGUCAUAUAUACAAUAAACACCUAGAUUUUGAUUUUCCUUAUCUGAAGCCAUUGGUUAUGUAAUCCUAGCAACUGUUUGUUUUCAGUUCUUUUUCUUGUUUGGGAGUUGGCUUUGUAAACAACUUAUGAUUAGACAGUUAAGAACAUUGGGUCAUAUGGGAAUAUUUGAUUAGCAUUUAGAAGCAGUUGAUCAAUCUUAAGAUUUCUAAAACUAAAAUUAGCUGUUAUUUUGACCAUAAACCAGCUAAUGUAACAUGAAGCAGAAUAACAUAUGCAGAGUAAAAUAACAUUGGUGAUCUUCUAGAGAAAACGAAUUGUCAAUUUUCCACAUACCAAGAAUUGUGGUCCAUUGCUUAAACAUAUCAUGGUUACCAAGAAUUGUCAAUUUUCCACAUACCAAGAAUUUUUAUUUUACAAUAUAAUGUUUGGAGUGCAUUUGGUUUAGCGGGCUUUGCUUGAGGGUAAAGGGUGAAAGAAUUGGAUUGCAUUUGAUCAUUUGCUGUUAUCUCCGUGUAAGAGAUACAAAGCUGCCGAGGCUCAUACUUGUUUGAGGGUUCUUGUAGCUCAUAUUUGGAACAAAGAGGGUGUGCUUUACCACAAGGAUAUUUGUCUUGCAAAGUAAUACUUUCCCAUCCAAAAGUUUGAUUGUGUUGGUUCUGCAUUCAAUGUAAAGGGUAUCAUGGAUUGCCCUAAUUGUUGCGAAAUUGAGAAUGACGAAUGGAGGUACUAUGUAUCUUGUAGCCCUGACCAUGAGCUCGACCUAUCUGAGGAUGAUAUGGAUUAUGAGGACAGUCCUAUAGAGUUCCUUGACAUGGUAAAAGUAAUGACAGCAUUUAUCAAUAUUGCUUUUUUUUUUCCUUUCAAAUCAAACAAGCUUCAUAAAAUGUUGUAAAAUUUGAGUGAAUCGCGAGUAUGAGCCAAGAUACAAUACGAUGUGCACACCCCUGCAUAACAAGAUGCGAGAACUAAUGCGCGUAGUUUAUAAUUUGUAAAUGGAUAAAACCAAUUUAUAUGUUAGACUGUAAAUUUCAUCCAUUUUGUGAGUAGCAUUGUCCAUUGCACGCCA
This is a non-coding RNA of Malus domestica (apple), 1624 nucleotides long. The record is from RefSeq and is a predicted model, not a curated record. NCBI's taxonomy places the organism in Eukaryota, Viridiplantae, Streptophyta, Magnoliopsida, Rosales, Rosaceae.